Molecule: ribosomal RNA, 370 nt
Filed under: uncultured bacterium
Lineage: Bacteria
Description: bacterial SSU rRNA
Rfam family: Bacterial small subunit ribosomal RNA
Source: RNAcentral
AUUGAACGCUGGCGGCAGGCCUAACACAUGCAAGUCGAGCGGUAGAGAGGUGCUUGCAUCUCUUGAGAGCGGCGGACGGGUGAGUAAUGCCUAGGAAUCUGCCUAGUGGUGGGGGAUAACGUUCGGAAACGGACGCUAAUACCGCAUACGUCCUACGGGAGAAAGCGGGGGAUCUUCGGACCUCGCGCCAUUAGAUGAGCCUAGGUCGGAUUAGCUAGUUGGUGAGGUAAUGGCUCACCAAGGCGACGAUCCGUAACUGGUCUGAGAGGAUGAUCAGUCACACUGGAACUGAGACACGGUCCAGACUCCUACGGGAGGCAGCAGUGGGGAAUAUUGGACAAUAGGGCGAAAGACCUGAUCCAGCCAUGCC